Molecule: ribosomal RNA, 541 nt
Filed under: uncultured bacterium
Lineage: Bacteria
Description: bacterial SSU rRNA
Rfam family: Bacterial small subunit ribosomal RNA
Source: RNAcentral
UGAGGAAUAUUGGACAAUGGGCGAGAGCCUGAUCCAGCCAUGCCGCGUGCAGGAAGACUGCCCUAUGGGUUGUAAACUGCUUUUAUACAGGAAGAAACACCCCGACGUGUCGGGGCUUGACGGUACCGUAAGAAUAAGGAUCGGCUAACUCCGUGCCAGCAGCCGCGGUAAUACGGAGGAUCCAAGCGUUAUCCGGAAUCAUUGGGUUUAAAGGGUCCGUAGGCGGAUAAUUAAGUCAGGGGUGAAAGUCUGCAGCUCAACUGUAGGACUGCCCUUGAUACUGGUUAUCUUGAAUCGUUGUGAAGUGGCUAGAAUAUGUAGUGUAGCGGUGAAAUGCAUAGAUAUUACAUAGAAUACCGAUUGCGAAGGCAGGUCACUAACAACGUAUUGACGCUGAGGGACGAAAGCGUGGGGAGCGAACAGGAUUAGAUACCCUGGUAGUCCACGCCGUAAACGAUGGAUACUAGCUGUCCGGCCUUCGGGCUGGGUGGCCAAGCGAAAGUGAUAAGUAUCCCACCUGGGGAGUACGUUCGCAAGAAUG